Long non-coding RNA from Felis catus (domestic cat), 4807 nucleotides. RefSeq lists it as uncharacterized. The transcript is spliced from 14 exons. The record is from RefSeq and is a predicted model, not a curated record. Lineage: Eukaryota; Metazoa; Chordata; Mammalia; Carnivora; Felidae.
CUGAGCGUGGAGCCUGCUUGGGAUUCUCUCUCUCCCUCUCUUCUCUCUGUCCCUCCCCUGCUAGUGCAUGUGCCUGUGCACUCUCUCUUUCAAAAUAAAUAAAUACACAUUUUAAAUGAAUCUCACAGGUGGUUCCAGGUGUUGAACAUUGAGAUUUACUUUGGGACUUCAGGAUGUAAUGGAUAGGAAAGAACAUGGUCAUAGGAUUUGGAAAAGAUUCAGAGAAGCAGCCUCUGGAACAAAGAAGAUAAUUGGAGUUUUAGAAAAGACUGCGACAAAGAAGGAAAAACUAAAAAUUGAAAUCAGGAAGGUUGCUAAAGACCAUGUUUUAGUUUCUUUGUAUGUCAAAGAACAUGAGUAUUAAGGUAAAGCAUUUUAAGAUUCUGUUUUAUUUUUCUAACUUUCUUAUUUGCAUUUUAAAAAAUCUCUCUUUUCAUGUAAUAUUUAACAGUAAAAACCGUUUUAAACUCAAACUCUCUUAAAGACAGAAUCAAAAAGAGAAGCACACUAAAAUCCAUUCUUAGUGUAUCUGAAAGAUGAAAGUCUGCGUGCUGGUAACAAACUGGGCCAGAUAAACCAAUCCCCAAAGCCUGGAGAAAAAUUGCAUGAGAAAGCUUCAGAGCCAUCCCAGAGCAAAAGUGACAUGGUGCAGAUGUGAGCUGGUGGGGAGAUGGCUGUAUGUUUAGGAUUUGUUGGCUAUUUCCCUUCCUUUAUGUAUGGCUCUCCAUUCUAUGUUCUUUUUCUUCUUUGCCCUCCAGCAUUUCCUGCCUGGUGGGUGUGUUUACCUCUUGGAUCUCUUUUCAAUGUAAUAUAUUUUGCUGAGUGAUACCAAGUAUAUGCAGAUGAUCUCCAAAUUUAUGGCUCUGAGUUCUGCCCUUUAAUUAUCUUAAAUAUCCCACACCUUGCUUCGAGAGAACUUUUGUGUGUGCCCCACCAACAAUUCAGACUGAGUAUUUUCAAAGCCACAUUCAUUAUUCUUCACCAUUCUUCAUCAGCUACUUUUUCUAUAUUCCCUGUCUUAAUUAAUAACUUCAACAGCCAUACAAUCACUCAAGCAAGAAAUAUUAUAGCUUUCUCAAUUCCCUUCUGCUUCAUACCUCAAAUUCAAAAGUUCAUAUUCCAUAUUCAGGCCAGUCUUACUCUUCAAAAUGUCUCUGAAUUCAGUCUUACAAUGGCUCCCAUUUUGAUGACCCAUUUAAAGUCUUACCUGGAGGAGUACAGCAAGUUUCUAUUUUACUCAUCUUUAUCUUUUUGAUAUAUGAUCCAUUCUCACUUGUACUGAACAUAUUUCUUUGCAUUGAGGAGGGCAGUUGUUGGGAUGAGCACUGGGUGUUGUAUGUAAGCGAUGAACCAUAGGAAUCUACCCCAAAAACCAAGAGCACACUUUACACACUGUAUAUUAGCCAAUUUGACAAUAAAUUAUAUUAAAGAAAUAAAAUGAAAAUCUGAUAGUGAUUAAUGUUGGCACUUUGUCUACUGUAUAAAAUUCAAGACAUGGCGUCCACCUACUUUUCAACCUCAUUACUUGCCACACACAUUCAUGCUUUCUAAACUUAAGCCAUGCCAGGCUGUUUUCCUUUUCUAAAUAUGUUAUGCUGAGUCAGUUUCCGUUACUAUAUGAGUGGUUCCAAUAAACUCAUCAAGGCGGAAUUAAUCCUUCUCUCUUGUAUUUUCCCAUAUCACAUUCUCUUAUAGUGAGUAGCACUCAGAGUUGUUUAUACAAUAGUAGUAUUUGUCUGUGUAGCUUCAGAAACACACGCUAAUUGAAGGCAGAUCCACUGGGAUCUCUCCAUCCUUAUACCCUCAGGUGCCUUCUCUAAAAUGUACCACAGCAGUUUGCACAUAGGAGGUGUACUGUGAAUGUGCUUUAUUGAAUUGAAUGUCGCCUUCUGUUUAUCUAAAAGACUCCACUUAGAGCUCUAGCUCUCAGGUAGUCUCCUCUCCCGGAUUUGAAACAUCAAAACCCAUGCGUAUGCACAUAGAAAAUAACUCAAACAAUACAUAAAAAAAAUUCUUACCUGUGGUUACCUCUGGAGAGAAAGAUUGGGUGGAGGGGUGCAGGGUUAAACUUAACUUUUUCACUUCACGGUUUUCUGUACCUUUUACAAUAUUAUACUAUUUAUUUUAUAAGAUUAAAGUAAGUGAAACUCCUCAGCCCCUGUCUCAAACCCAGUCAUGCUUGUUUAAAGACUUGAAUAUACUUUAAACAAAUCUGAUGUUGAUUCAAGAAUAUGUUUCAAGAGUGGAGAAUUAUAGAAUCCUGCUGUCUACCUUUUUUAUUAAUCAGAAAGUUUUAUCAUGUCAAAUUUCUAAGGGAAAAACUGCCCUGAGAAGUGUUUAAAAUUUCUUGAAUGUGCACAUUAAAACAUUACUCCAGACUUUAAAACAAAAAGGUAAAAUUGAAUGUCUAUAGCUUACCAAUUGCUGUAACUUCUAAAUAUUUAAAAACAUAACUGUUUGAUUUGUAUGAUUAUAAUUUGAAUAACUUCUGUUUAAGAAUUUUUUUCUUUAUACCUCUCCAUAAGGCUGAGAAAAAAACAAUUGUUGUUAACAUAUUUAACCCAAGAUACAGUGUGUCAUUUGUGUCAUAAUUGUAAAAAAAGUUAUUUAGGAAUAUCUAUAAUUAGUCUAUCUAUAAUUUAAAAUAUAUGAAGAGUAAGAUCAUAAAAGGAGUGUUACACACAAUACUUUUAAUGAGCCAUAAACUUACCCUCUGUGAAAGUGCUGGCUUUGGAUGGGUCUUAUACAUAAUUUGUAACUUCAAUGAUAGGAUCUUCCUACUUCCUUUUACCCUUCUAUAAUUAGAGAUGUAUGAAACAUAAAUUAUUCUUUUAAUUUAUUGUUCACGUUGAAGAAUUACAUGUCAUGAAAUCCCUUGGUAUCUUACUAUUUUACCAACAGUGAUCGUGAGAUAAAGAAGAUGGUUCUAAGAACAGCUUGAGCUCCUUCUCAGAAGUCGACACUAACCUCCUGAGAGCACAUGUAGAAGGGAAGGAGCUGGCAAAUUAGGAAAUUACAGAUAAAGCCUCAGUGCCUUCGCUAGGCAUACAACACUCAGCCUAACUAAGUAAAUGUUACUUCCUUCCCCAGAAGACCCUGCACUAUUUUAGGAACAGAAGAUCAAUUGUAGGAUUUUUGUGAGGCUAAAAAAAUUAUUGGAUAACAUGAAAAAAAAAGGAAUGAAAAUAAAGGAUUCUAAGCAAGUAGAUUCUUCUUAAAUGUUCUUCCCACAUCUUGAGAUGAACAUACCCCAGAGGUUGACGAUUAUGAGAAUUUUAGCACCCCAUUCACCUAAGACAAGUAGUCUCUACCCUUGUAUGAAGGACUUUUCAGAGCCUUUAACAUAUGAAUAUGAACAGCAAAUGUCUAAGGAUGGCUUAAGGGCCUGGGUUUGAAUGAUCAUUUUUGGAAGGAAUAUCACAAAGCUGCCUGGAAUGCUUCCUAAGGAAUGAAUGGGAGUCCCUAAUUCGCCACAUUCUUGUCAGUAUUUGGUGUUGUCAGUAUUCUGGAUUUUGACCAUGCUAAUAGUGGCUGGUCAUUCAUAAUAAUCCAAGGUUGUGUUGAGUUCCUAAAAAACUGUUUCAGACAUAAUGCCAUCUGCAGAGAUACGACUGACAUACAUUCCAGCAAUACCUGAAACAGCCUAGACACAGGACUGGAUCCAUUAUGUCUUAGUCAUUUCCUGUUUGGAAAGCUUCUAUGUCUUUGAGAAUUUAAGACCAGAAAAGUCAAAUGGGUGUUCUCAAAGUCUUGCUGGAGAAACAAAAAACACUGAAGUAUCUUGUGGAGAAUCAUGGUCCCAAAUCACACUGGUCUCAAGGCCCUCCCUCCACCUGCGCGGAAGUCCACAGCCACCUGCCAUCUUCAGAGGUCUGAGAAACUGAGGCUGUGACACAUAAGAGCAACAACAACAAAUGUAAUAACACAGACCAUCUGUUAAAAGCCUGCAAGACAAUGGAUCCCAGGUAUUGAGGUAAAAAAUCCUGCAACAUUUCUGCAUUCCAGCAAGAGACUAUGAGCUACUCUCAUCUCAGGUAAGAAUGGAACUGCUUCACCAGAUGCAUGUGUUAGAGCAUGGAUUGUGCUGCUAACCUGUGUGGAGUAGCGUAUGUGAGCACCGCUAACCUGCCUGCAUAUGGAGUUUCCAGGCACCAGGCACCAAACAGAGGUAUAAAGCAUCUGGAAAGAGGGAGAAGUGACAACAGAAGCAGAAAUUACAGUGAUGUGAGCCGAAGAAUGAGGCAGCCCCUGCAAACCCAGGAGGCAAGGAGAGGGAUUCUUCCCUGAAGACUCCAGGACCCAGCCCUGCCCUCACCUUGAUGAUGUAAGCUUUUAAAUGAGAUAAGAAUAUUUUAGGCCAAAGAAGAAAAAGAGUUUAAAUCUAGUGUUCUCGGGUCUUCGAUGGAUGUUACAGCCAUAAGUCAAGAGAUGAUAGUUUCAUGCUCAUAUUGCAAAAUAUUAUUGGUUCUGAACAUACAAGAUAAUUCAGUCGAGUGCAGAGAAGUUGAGCGAAGUUGUCCAUGAUUGUACAGAUGAGCCAGGAUUUGAUUUCAGGAAAGUUGAUUCUGACUGAUCUUCUUGGUCCUCCGAGACCCUGCUUUAUCAAUUAACAAGCCUGGUGUAUGCAACGUACAAUGUACAGAAAGAGAUGAAGAAAAGAAUCAGAUCUCCUUUUGUAAGGAUACCAAAUAUAAACUGAAAGUGUCAAACUUAGCAGAAAGGUAACUUUAAUGAUAAAUGACUUUUACAUUUUCAAGGCAUUUUAUUUGUUUAAAAAAAUUUUUAAUGUUUAUUUAUAUUUGAGAGA